Molecule: ribosomal RNA, 384 nt
Filed under: uncultured bacterium
Lineage: Bacteria
Description: bacterial SSU rRNA
Rfam family: Bacterial small subunit ribosomal RNA
Source: RNAcentral
GAUGAACGCUAGCGGCAGGCCUAAUACAUGCAAGUCGAGGGGCAGCGGGAGUAGCAAUACUUGCCGGCGACCGGCGCACGGGUGCGUAACACGUAUACAAUCUACCUUUAACAGGGGGAUAGCCCGGAGAAAUCCGGAUUAAUACCCCAUAACAAAUUGAAUGGCAUCAUUUGAUUUUGAAAGCUUCGGUGGUUAGAGAUGAGUAUGCGCCUGAUUAGUUAGUUGGUGAGGAACGGCUCACCAAGACUACGAUCAGUAGGGGAUCUGAGAGGAUUAACCCCCACACGGAUACUGAGACACGGAUCCGACUCCUACGGGAGGCAGCAGUAAGGAAUAUUGGACAAUGCCCGCAAGGGUGAUCCAGCCAUGCCGCGUGCAGGAAGA